Molecule: long non-coding RNA, 327 nt
Filed under: Ictidomys tridecemlineatus (thirteen-lined ground squirrel)
Lineage: Eukaryota; Metazoa; Chordata; Mammalia; Rodentia; Sciuridae
Description: lncRNA (ENSSTOG00000033988.1)
Source: RNAcentral
CCCCCUCUACUCUUUUGGUCUUCCUUCUAUUUAUUUACUUAUUUUUAAUAGAUACACCGUGUUUUCAUAUUCAAGAGGACUGCAUGGGAUGACUUGUGGCAUACAGGCACAUAAUUUAAUGCAGGCCCUCUCCAUGGUCAUGGUGGGCUCCCGUCAGGACAGAGCCUGAAGCACUGGGCUGGAAUUCACCAGGAUCAGUGUCCACGAGGUCACUCUUCUUUAUCAGCAGACCAACAACAUAAUUUCCUACCUUUGUUACAUUUGCCCCAUCAUGUUCAACUCAAAGUAUCGAUAUUGGGACUCCAGGACACUUACACCAAACAUGAA